Molecule: unclassified non-coding RNA, 371 nt
Filed under: plant metagenome
Description: partial contains 5.8S ribosomal RNA, internal transcribed spacer 2, and large subunit ribosomal RNA
Rfam family: 5.8S ribosomal RNA (bases 1-106)
Source: RNAcentral
CAAGCUGCGAUAAGUAAUGUGAAUUGCAGAACUCAGUGAAUCAUCGAGUCUUCGAACGCACAUUGCGCCCCCUGGCACUCCGGGGGGCACGCCUGUCCGAGCGUCGUCGACGUACCCUCGGGGCCCAGCUGCCGUCUCGCGCGGUGGGGGGGCCCUGGCCUUGGGCCUGUACGUCCGCCCCGCGUGGGUGGGGCCCGCAAGCAAUGGACCGGUCGUCCCCAGGGGUCCCGAGCGCAGCGGCUGAUCCCAGGCUCGAGGAGACCCCCGGGCGAUGACCCGUUAGUGUCGAAAUCCCCUACGCGCGGGGUUCAUCCCCCUACGCGUAGCACCGUUGACCUCGGAUCAGGCGGGGUUACCCGCUGAACUUAAGC